This 253-nucleotide ribosomal RNA is filed under the name uncultured bacterium. RNAcentral's name for it is "partial 16S ribosomal RNA". It matches the Rfam family "Bacterial small subunit ribosomal RNA", at positions 524 to 776 of the family's 1533-position model. The record is from RNAcentral.
UACAGAGGGGGCAAGCGUUAUUCGGAAUUAUUGGGCGUAAAGGGCGCGUAGGCUGCUUUGCAAGUGACGGGUGAAAUCCCUCGGCUUAACCGAGGAACUGCCUGUCAAACUGCAUGGCUUGAGACCGGGAGAGGUGAGUGGAAUUCCCAGUGUAGCGGUGAAAUGCGUAGAUAUUGGGAGGAACACCAGUGGCGAAGGCGACUCACUGGACCGGUACUGACGCUGAUGCGCGAAAGCGUGGGGAGCAAACAGG